CAGAAGAUCUUGUAUGUCUUUUCUGUGGUCUUACUGUGAAAUGUUGAUGAAUGCUGCAAUUGGUUGCAACAUUUGCAGCGCUUAUCCCUACAAGGCUGGCAAUUACCUACAGUAUGGUUAGGUUUGGAAAGGUCAGCACGGACAAGUAUAUUUCUCAGGCUGUUAGGUUGUUUGAAGGCAAUCAUGGGAGGCUCAGGAAAGGUUUUGGAUAACUUGGAAUGUUUCUCGAUUGCCGUCCAAUGAUCACGAAUGGUCUUGAAACUAUUUCUCAGGCAUGGAUAGUAAGUGAGCACACAUGGGAUUCUUUUACUUUUCUUUUUUCUUUGUAAGUUAGCAGACUGCUUCUGGGGAUG
Molecule: long non-coding RNA, 353 nt
Filed under: Mytilus galloprovincialis (Mediterranean mussel)
Lineage: Eukaryota; Metazoa; Mollusca; Bivalvia; Mytilida; Mytilidae
Source: RNAcentral